ACCUGGCUGGCUCAGUCGGUAGAGCAUGGGACUCUUGAUCUCAGGGUUGUGAGUUCAAGCCCCAUGUUGGAUA
RNAcentral lists this transfer RNA (73 nucleotides) under Felis catus (domestic cat). It matches the Rfam family "tRNA". Rfam says of the family: Transfer RNA (tRNA) molecules are approximately 80 nucleotides in length. Their secondary structure includes four short double-helical elements and three loops (D, anti-codon, and T loops). Lineage: Eukaryota; Metazoa; Chordata; Mammalia; Carnivora; Felidae. RNAcentral also lists the same sequence under 4 other names. The record is from Rfam by way of RNAcentral.